GGCCGGAUAGCUUCAGUGGUCAAAGCUUUUCCAAUUAAUGGAACUGACCCAGGUUCGAUUCCUGGUCCAGCCG
This 73-nucleotide transfer RNA is filed under the name Microbotryum lychnidis-dioicae p1A1 Lamole. Its description in RNAcentral is "tRNA-Sup (TTA) (tRNA-Sup-TTA-8-1)". It matches the Rfam family "tRNA". From Rfam's summary of the family: Transfer RNA (tRNA) molecules are approximately 80 nucleotides in length. Lineage: Eukaryota; Fungi; Basidiomycota; Microbotryomycetes; Microbotryales; Microbotryaceae. The record is from RNAcentral.